CGCGGCCUAUCAGCUUGUUGGUGGGGUGAUGGCCUACCAAGGCGACGACGGGUAGCCGGCCUGAGAGGGUGACCGGCCACACUGGGACUGAGACACGGCCCAGACUCCUACGGGAGGCAGCAGUGGGGAAUAUUGCACAAUGGGCGGAAGCCUGAUGCAGCGACGCCGCGUGAGGGAUGACGGCCUUCGGGUUGUAAACCUCUUUCAGUAGGGAAGAAGCCUUUCGGGGUGACGGUACCUGCAGAAGAAGCGCCGGCUAACUACGUGCCAGCAGCCGCGGUAAUACGUAGGGCGCAAGCGUUGUCCGGAAUUAUUGGGCGUAAAGAGCUCGUAGGCGGCUUGUCGCGUCUGCUGUGAAAACGCAAGGCUUAACCUUGCGCCUGCAGUGGGUACGGGCAGGCUAGAGUGCGGUAGGGGAGUCUGGAAUUCCUGGUGUAGCGGUGAAAUGCGCAGAUAUCAGGAGGAACACCGGUGGCGAAGGCGGGACUCUGGGCUGUAACUGACGCUGAGGAGCGAAAGCGUGGGGAGCGAACAGGAUUAGAUACCCUGGUAGUCCACGCCGUAAACGUUGGGCGCUAGGUGUGGGGUUCUUCCACGGAUUCCGCGCCGUAGCUAACGCAUUAAGCGCCCCGCCUGGGGAGUACGG
This 646-nucleotide ribosomal RNA is filed under the name uncultured bacterium. RNAcentral describes it as "bacterial SSU rRNA". It matches the Rfam family "Bacterial small subunit ribosomal RNA", at positions 232 to 885 of the family's 1533-position model. The record is from RNAcentral.